This 684-nucleotide ribosomal RNA is filed under the name Triticum aestivum (bread wheat). Its description in RNAcentral is "partial small subunit ribosomal RNA". The record is from RNAcentral. Lineage: Eukaryota; Viridiplantae; Streptophyta; Magnoliopsida; Poales; Poaceae.
AUGGCUCUGUUCAUGGCGCAUGCAAGCAUUGAGCUACCCUCGGCGACUCCAGUCGCAAAGGCUUUCAUCCACCUCGAUGAGCCAAAAGCACACGCUCUUCUCGGCGAUGGCUCCGGGAAGGACAAGGCUACGGGGUGGUGCCUCGACACCGGCGCCACCCACCACAUGACCGGUCGAAGGGAAUUCUUCGCCGAGCUCGACUCCGAUGCGCGAGGCUCCGUCAAGUUCGGGGAUGCCUCCACUGUGGAGAUAAAGGGCGUCGGCUCCGUCAUCUUCACCACCAAGAUGGGAGAGCACCGGCUGUUCACCGGUGUCUACUACAUCCCCGCGCUAAGGAAUUCCAUCAUCAGCUUGGGACAGCUGGAUGAGAACGGCUCAUGCGUGCUGAUUGAGCAUGGGGUCCUACGCAUCUGGGAUCGCCAGCGUCGCCUUCUCGCCAAGGUGCCCAGAGGUGAAAAUCGACUCUACGUCCUUGAUGUGCAGGUGGCACAACCGGUCUGUCUCGCUGUCCGUCGGGACGACGAGGCGUGGCAAUGGCAUGAGCGCUUUGGGCACCUUCACUUUGAGGCCCUGAAGCGUCUAAGUGCCAAGGAGAUGGUGCGAGGCCUGCCAUGCCUUGACCAUGUGGAGCAGUUCUGCGACAUCUGCGUGCUGACAAAGCAGAGACGACUCCCCUUUCCCUAA